GCCCGCCUAGCUCAAUCGGAUAGAGCGUCAGACUCUUAUCGCCGAUGUAGAGAUGCGUGGUGAUCUGAAGGCUGCGAGUUCGACCCUCGCGGUGGGCU
This 98-nucleotide transfer RNA is filed under the name Polyporus arcularius HHB13444. It matches the Rfam family "tRNA". Rfam says of the family: Transfer RNA (tRNA) molecules are approximately 80 nucleotides in length. Their secondary structure includes four short double-helical elements and three loops (D, anti-codon, and T loops). The record is from Rfam by way of RNAcentral. Lineage: Eukaryota; Fungi; Basidiomycota; Agaricomycetes; Polyporales; Polyporaceae.